GCUAUGCAGUUGAGCGCUGAAGGUGGUACUUGUACCGACUGGAUGAGCAGCGAACGGGUGAGUAACGCGUGGGGAAUCUGCCUUUGAGCGGGGGACAACAUUUGGAAACGAAUGCUAAUACCGCAUAACAACUUUAAACACAAGUUUUAAGUUUGAAAGAUGCAAUUGCAUCACUCAAAGAUGAUCCCGCGUUGUAUUAGCUAGUUGGUGAGGUAAAGGCUCACCAAGGCGAUGAUACAUAGCCGACCUGAGAGGGUGAUCGGCCACAUUGGGACUGAGACACGGCCCAAACUCCUACGGGAGGCAGCAGUAGGGAAUCUUCGGCAAUGGACGAAAGUCUGACCGAGCAACGCCGCGUGAGUGAAGAAGGUUUUCGGAUCGUAAAACUCUGUUGGUAGAGAAGAACGUUGGUGAGAGUGGAAAGCUCAUCAAGUGACGGUAACUACCCAGAAAGGGACGGCUAACUACGUGCCAGCAGCCGCGGUAAUACGUAGGUCCCGAGCGUUGUCCGGAUUUAUUGGGCGUAAAGCGAGCGCAGGUGGUUUAUUAAGUCUGGUGUAAAAGGCAGUGGCUCAACCAUUGUAUGCAUUGGAAACUGGUAGACUUGAGUGCAGGAGAGGAGAGUGGAAUUCCAUGUGUAGCGGUGAAAUGCGUAGAUAUAUGGAGGAACACCGGUGGCGAAAGCGGCUCUCUGGCCUGUAACUGACACUGAGGCUCGAAAGCGUGGGGAGCAAACAGGAUUAGAUACCCUGAGUCCACGCCGUAAACGAUGAGUGCUAGAUGUAGGGAGCUAUAAGUUCUCUGUAUCGCAGCUAACGCAAUAAGCACUCCGCCUGGGGAGUACGACCGCAAGGUUGAAACUCAAAGGAAUUGACGGGGGCCCGCACAAGCGGUGGAGCAUGUGGUUUAAUUCGAAGCAACGCGAAGAACCUUACCAGGCUGACAUACUCGUGCUAUUCCUAAGAUAGGAAGUUCCUCGGCGGGUACGGGGCAUGUCGUCAGCUCGGUCGUGAAGGAGUCCCGAACCCUCUUAGUGACUCUAACUGAAGGA
RNAcentral lists this ribosomal RNA (1051 nucleotides) under Lactococcus lactis. RNAcentral describes it as "bacterial SSU rRNA". It matches the Rfam family "Bacterial small subunit ribosomal RNA", at positions 53 to 1129 of the family's 1533-position model. Lineage: Bacteria; Bacillati; Bacillota; Bacilli; Lactobacillales; Streptococcaceae. The record is from RNAcentral.